This 862-nucleotide ribosomal RNA is filed under the name uncultured Pseudomonadota bacterium. Its description in RNAcentral is "bacterial SSU rRNA". It matches the Rfam family "Bacterial small subunit ribosomal RNA", at positions 8 to 843 of the family's 1533-position model. The record is from RNAcentral. Lineage: Bacteria; Pseudomonadati; Pseudomonadota.
AGAGUUUGAUCCUGGCUCAGAAUGAACGCUGGCGGCGUGCUUAACACAUGCAAGUCGAACGAGAAAGGGACUGCUUGCAGUCUCAAGUAGAGUGGCGCACGGGUGAGUAACACGUAGAUAAUCUACCUUCGAAUUUGGGAUAACCGCCUGAAAGGGCGGCUAAUACCGGAUAAAGUUUAUUGACACAAGUUGAUAGAUGAAAGGCAGCCUAUUCAUGAAAGCUGUUGUUUGGAGAUGAGUUUGCGGACCAUUAGCUUGUUGGUGGGGUAAAGGCCUACCAAGGCUGUGAUGGUUAGCUGGUCUGAGAGGAUGAUCAGUCACACCGGAACUGGAACACGGUCCAGACUCCUACGGGAGGCAGCAGUGAGGGAUUUUGCGCAAUGGGGUAACCCCUGACGCAGCAACGCCGCGCGAGUGAAGAAGGCCUUUGGGUCGUAAAGCUCUGUCAACUGGGAAGAAGUUACUGUAUAUUAACAGUGUAUAGUAUUGACGGUACCAGUGGAGGAAGCAUCGGCUAACUCCGUGCCAGCAGCCGCGGUAACACGGGGGAUGCAAGCGUUAUUCGGAAUUAUUGGGCGUAAAGUGCGCGCAGGCGGUAUUGUCGGUCAGAUGUGAAAGCCCGGGGCUCAACCCCGGACGUGCAUUUGAAACAGCAAUACUUGAGUACGGGAGAGGAAAGCGGAAUUCCUGGUGUAGAGGUGAAAUUCGUAGAUAUCAGGAGGAACACCGAUGGCGAAGGCAGCUUUCUGGGCCGAUACUGACGCUGAGGCGCGAAGGCGUGGGUAGCGAACAGGAUUAGAUACCCUGGUAGUCCACGCAGUAAACGAUGUUCACUAGGUGUAGCGGGUAUUAAAACCUGCUG